CCCUAUGACUCUUCUACAGUUUUGCUGAAUUAACCAGUAGGUAUUAGGUAAUCUUUGUGCAGACCUUUGAGUGUUGAUUUCUUUUUGUUUAUAUCUAUCUAUCUAUCUAUCUAUCUAUCUAUCUAUAAAGGUUUGCACAAAGAUUGCCUAAUACCUAGUGGUUAAUCCAGCAAAACUGUAGAAGAAUCAUAGGGA
Non-coding RNA from Pelobates cultripes (western spadefoot toad), 195 nucleotides. NCBI's taxonomy places the organism in Eukaryota, Metazoa, Chordata, Amphibia, Anura, Pelobatidae. The record is from the annotation of a GenBank genome assembly.